CCAUAUCUCAUUAAAACCACGCCCAAAGCAUCCAUUGAAAGUCCAUGUAUGGGGAGGCAUAACACGAUUAGGAGCUGGUCCCCUAUUAUUUUUCGAAGGGAUCAUGGAUAAGAAAUUUUUCCAAGAAACAAUAGUAGAGGGAUGUAUGGUGCCAUUUGUGAAUAAAUAUUACCCAACUCACCAUAGGAUAUUCCAAGACAAUGAUCCUAAACACUCCGCCUCUGCCAAAUUUAUGGAAGAGAAAGGUAUGAAUUGGGAACGCACACCACCAGAAUCACCAGACAUGAAUCCAAUUGAAUUAGUGUGGGCUCAAUUGAAGAGGUACAUUAGGAGUGUUGCGAAGCCAACAACAAAACAGCAGCUGUUGGAUGGGAUAAAGAAAUUUUGGCUAGAAGUACUCACACCUGAGCAUUGUAAUAAUUAUAUAAAUCAC
This is a long non-coding RNA of Pseudophryne corroboree (corroboree frog), 433 nucleotides long. RefSeq lists it as uncharacterized. The transcript is spliced from 3 exons. The record is from RefSeq and is a predicted model, not a curated record. NCBI's taxonomy places the organism in Eukaryota, Metazoa, Chordata, Amphibia, Anura, Myobatrachidae.